RNAcentral lists this long non-coding RNA (1025 nucleotides) under Pandoravirus neocaledonia. RNAcentral's name for it is "hypothetical ncRNA". The record is from RNAcentral.
GCCAGAAACGCGCGGCGCUCGCGACGAGCGCCUGACGCGACGGUCUCGCGUGUUGCGCACCCAAGAGGUCGCGCUCGAUGACGCCCAAGAGAGCCAGUUGGUCAAGGUCGGCUGCGAGUGCGUCGCGUCGGUCGAGCGCGUAGAGCACGACCGCCGUGGCCAUGUCGACGUAGGCGUCGACAGACAGUGAGUCGAUGUCGGGCACAUGCUGCCCACGGCGCUCUUGGAACAAACCCGCGUGCAUCCUCUGGGCCGUAUUCUUAUUCGCGUUCCUUUUUUCUCCCUUAUCUUCCUUUGCUCUCCUGCACGCGCACAACCACGCACGCGCGCCCACACGUGAGCAAGCGCCGAAACGAUAGUGGAAGAUGGUGUCGCGACAGCAUGCCACAGACAGAAAGGCAACGAACGCAGACGGCCACAGCAACAUGAUGUGGUCUUGUCCGACGGCCAGAACCGGCGCCUCUUGUGCCUCUUGAUUUUAUCUCUCUUGUUGUGGCCGCCGUGUCGGCGGUGGCAAUGAUCAUCUUUCUUUUGAAGAAAAAAAAAGAAGGUGAGGGGGAGAUUACCUCGACCAAGGAGACGGGAGACGCCACAGACGAUGUCGGCGCGGGGCGGCUGCAGCGUCGGUGUUUGACAAAGAGAAAAAGGAAAGAAAAAAAAGCGAUAGAGGCUGUGGCGUGUGCGUGACCGGUCGGCGUGCGCCCCAGAUUGUAGGCGGCCGGCGGAGGGCGCAAAGAGAUGGGGGUGGUUCCAAAAGGCGGAAAAAAGAAGAUAAAAAGGUGCUGUGCAGACAGACACAGAUGUCGCCCUCUAGCGCUGGGACGGUGUGGUGGCUGUGCCGUUGCCGUGCAAGUGGUAAACAAGACGCCGUCGCGCUAUCCCGUCACAGACACGACCGUGGCAGGGAACAAGGGCAACCACCAUUGACGCGUGAUAGGCUGCGAUAUUUUCGUUCCGGUUGCACCGCAUAAUACACAAAGACCCGAUUGGUAUAACGAAAUGCUGACGGGAAUGUUUUAAAAAAG